GAUGGAUCCGCGUCUGAUUAGCCAGUUGGCGGGGUAACGGCCCACCAAAGCGACGAUCAGUAGCCGACCUGAGAGGGUGACCGGCCACAUUGGGACUGAGACACGGCCCAAACUCCUACGGGAGGCAGCAGUGGGGAAUAUUGCACAAUGGGCGAAAGCCUGAUGCAGCGACGCCGCGUGAGUGAAGAAGUAUCUCGGUAUGUAAAGCUCUAUCAGCAGGGAAGAAAAUGACGGUACCUGACUAAGAAGCCCCGGCUAACUACGUGCCAGCAGCCGCGGUAAUACGUAGGGGGCAAGCGUUAUCCGGAUUUACUGGGUGUAAAGGGAGCGUAGACGGCGACGCAAGUCUGGAGUGAAAGCCCGGGGCCCAACCCCGGGACUGCUUUGGAAACUGUGUUGCUGGAGUGCAGGAGAGGUAAGUGGAAUUCCUAGUGUAGCGGUGAAAUGCGUAGAUAUUAGGAGGAACACCAGUGGCGAAGGCGGCUUACUGGACUGUAACUGACGUUGAGGCUCGAAAGCGUGGGGAGCAAACAGGAUUAGAUACCCUGGUAGUCCA
Molecule: ribosomal RNA, 556 nt
Filed under: uncultured bacterium
Lineage: Bacteria
Description: bacterial SSU rRNA
Rfam family: Bacterial small subunit ribosomal RNA
Source: RNAcentral